This 254-nucleotide ribosomal RNA is filed under the name uncultured bacterium. RNAcentral's name for it is "partial 16S ribosomal RNA". It matches the Rfam family "Bacterial small subunit ribosomal RNA", at positions 524 to 776 of the family's 1533-position model. The record is from RNAcentral.
UACGUAGGGGCCAAGCGUUGUCCGGAAUUAUUGGGCGUAAAGAGCUCGUAGGCGGUGUGUCGCGUCGGCCGUGAAAACCUGCAGCUUAACUGUGGGCUUGCGGUCGAUACGGGCAUCACUGGAGUUCGGCAGGGGAGACUGGAAUUCCUGGUGUAGCGGUGAAAUGCGCAGAUAUCAGGAGGAACACCGGUGGCGAAGGCGGGUCUCUGGGCCGAUACUGACGCUGAGGGGCGAAAGCGUGGGGAGCGAACAGG